GAUUAACGCUGGCGGCGUGCCUAACACAUGCAAGUCGAGCGGCAGCGAGUUUUACACUGAAUUCUGGAAGCUUCUAGUUGAAAGAGAAGAUUUAUUCAAGAAUUUUGUGUAAAAUGUCGGCGAGCGGCGGACGGCUGAGUAACGCGUGGGAACGUACCCCAAAGUGAGGGAUAACGCAUCGAAAGGUGUGCUAAUACCGCAUAUGGUCUUCGGAUUAAAGCCUUCGGGCGCUUUGGGAACGGCCUGCGUAAGAUUAGAUAGUUGGUGGGGUAAUGGCCUACCAAGUCGACGAUCUUUAACUGGUUUGAGAGGAUGAUCAGUCAGACUGGAACUGAGACACGGUCCAGACUCCUACGGGAGGCAGCAGUGAGGAAUCUUCCACAAUGGGCGAAAGCCUGAUGGAGCAACGCCGCGUGCAGGAUGAAGGCCUUCGGGUUGUAAACUGCCUUUAUAAGUGAGGAUUAUGACAGUAACUUAUGAAUAAGGAUCGGCCAACUACGUG
Molecule: ribosomal RNA, 502 nt
Filed under: uncultured bacterium
Lineage: Bacteria
Description: partial 16S ribosomal RNA
Rfam family: Bacterial small subunit ribosomal RNA
Source: RNAcentral